Molecule: long non-coding RNA, 3052 nt
Organism: Brienomyrus brachyistius
Lineage: Eukaryota; Metazoa; Chordata; Actinopteri; Osteoglossiformes; Mormyridae
Exons: 6
Source: RefSeq, a predicted model, not a curated record
GGUAACUCGGUUACUUAGCUUCGGCAAUUUCCGUGCAUUCGGCAGACCGGAACCCAGGAUCGGUGCGGUGUCGCAGAAGAUGAAAGAACAAGGACCCCGGUCUGAAAAGAUCAAUGAAGGCUUUCACAAACAUAUGAAAAGAUAAAUGCAUGACCAUAUAAUGAUUGCAACAGCCUCCUGCUGCCAGCGACCACCAAGAGUUACAGCUGUUAAGAAGCAGCGAGAGUUUUGGCUUGCAGCUUCCCUCAGAGGAUGCUGGGCCCCAUGCGUGAUGUAACGUUUACAGGAAUGGAGUCAGCAUGAAGUGUUUUUCCUGAUAUGCAAGUGCAGCUGUCCCAACACCAAGUCCUUCCAAAGCACAGGAAUUAACAGGAGCCUUGCACUGCUUACAUUGUCCUCACCACCAAAGCAACCCUCCACACAAGGGCCUUCAGAAGAGGUAUGUCACAGAUCGCAUAGGGGAGAUAGAGGACCGCCUCUCCAGACUGACCAUCUGCACGGAACGCACAUUUCACAGACACAGACGGCACCCAGCCACCUUUCACUGGACCAAGGGAGCCAAGGAGGAAGUUCUCAGUGUGCAGAACAAGAGACGAUAGGGACAUGCCAAAAAGCCAGCAACGGACAGAAAGACGGACACGUGGGGGGGGCAAGACAUCAGGGCAGACCAUCUUGACAGGAGCCCCCCACCAAAGCAACGGCAGAACAUAAGUGCCAUUCUGAAAGACCAAAAGUGAUCAGGAGACAACAGUAUUCCAGUCAGCACACAAUCCCCAUCAAAGUAAACCAGGGUCAAGACAAAAAUGAAGACAAAUAUAUCAUUGGCUAGAAGGUGCUUUCCCGCCAAAGUUCAGGAACCUAGUCUCUGGUUCCUAUUUCCUGGGCCGACUUGACUGCAAACUUUUGUAGUUCCUGGUCACAUGUGCGUGUAGCUUUCCCACUGCAUAACAGGAACUGUGACCUUUAUGGUACGUUAGCAUGGGAGACUCAAAAACCUCAUAGGUUAAACUUCAUAUUCAAACUCUGUAUUGGUUCAAAACGCAACAGCAGUUUAUUUAUACGGCACGACAUGUUUAUAAAAUCGGGGUACAACCAAAGUUUAUCACCAUAAGCCACAUCCACUAGUUCUUCGAGUUCAGAAUACCUAUUCUCGAGUAGGGAGAAAAAAUAAAUAAAUAAAAAUAUAUAUAUAAUUUCCCCAGGAACUACUUUCCAAAACCUACAAUCUGGUUGAGUUCCUGCAGUAGGAACAUGACAAGUUUCUGGUCCCUGAAAAAAAGGUUCCUGUAGUGGGAAAGCACCUAAUAUUACAAUAUAUGCAGCAGCACUAGAAGCCAUCUGGGGAAACUGUACCUGAUGAAUGAUAUAGCAACCGUCAUACGGUGUAAUCAAAAUCACAUCCCUCCAUGUCACCUUCACAGAGUAACCACAGCUAGACGGCAGAUGGGAGAAGGGCAGAGGGGGGGCAUUUCCUGAAACAAUGCAAAGGGGACUCAUUAAGAUACCAGAGAAUGGAAAAUCUCUAUUACGCUUGUACUCCUUUAUACAUUCUUCAGUGCUGGUACCUCUAUCUAUUAGCAGAUGUUUGUAUGCUUGGCCCGGUGCAGUGAGCAUCAUCAAAUUGCUUUUGCACUGUACAACGGGCCUCAUUGGACUCCAUUUUCCGGCAGCUGUAUCACCGGAUCCAUGGUACGGGCCAAAGACCUUUCCUGUAACCUGCCUGCGGUUCCGCAGCCCUGUUAAAUUAGGCAACAACUGAUAAAGGCUGUACACCAACUUACCCCAAGUGUAUCAUAACCAAAUAAUGGAUAAUUCCUUUCGAGGUGACCCAGAAUAAAAAAAAAAUAAGAGCGUCACCUAAGUUUACUACAGAGCUAGUCUUAUAAUCAUCAUCAUAAGGGGGGUUUCUGACAUGUUGCCAAGUAAAUUCCAGUAUACUGCAUCUCAAUGAAAUAAACCAGUAUUUUGCAUGCUGAUCACAUUCAAAUAUUCAACAUUUUAAAACGGCAAUUAAGCACAAUGACGUCACACAGAUGGACGCACUCUCCCAGUUUCGCAAACUUCUGUCAAUUAGCUCGAGUUAGAUUUUCAAUACGAGAAAACAAAUGCACACACAUUUACAUGUCGGUAACAAUGAUUCUGAUGUAGCUAAAAUUCAGGUUUGUAGUGGAAUAAUAUACAUUUUUCCGUAUGAUUUGCGUGAGUCUGCAAACUUGUGAGAGAUGGCGACCCUGCUUUCGGUGUGCGUCGCUCUCUGACUUUUCAGUAUCACUGAUUAGGAGCCUCUUGCAUUCAUUUUUGCCCCUCCUUACAGUCUGCUGCCUUGGAACAUUAUGAAGCAGCCAAAAAUCCCGCAACCUUCUAAUAUUACCCACAACUGUAAAAAGAGCCCAAUUGGGCGGGAAAACCGCGGACCUGGCAACUCCGCGUGUCGCCGAAGCUCAGGCCUACUUGAGAGCCAUAGGGAACGCGAGAGAACAGUUAUUUAGAAACUACAGUACUCCGCUUGUGACUGCAAAUCCUGUAGUGCAAUAGUCAUUUUGGUUUAAAUGACGUCCAAUACAGUUAGACGAAUACAACUGAUCUUUCGUUUUUUGUAUGCGUCUUUGAGAAAUCCUUUACAUGGGUAUUGCGUUCUUAAAGAAUAAGGGGGGAAAAGUCAAAGAAAAUCCUACCAGGGCGGUUAACAAAUGUACUGGACUGCGAGGUCUCUUGGUGCUCGUACUCUUUGUGGAUCCAUUUCAGAAAGACGCCCUGGCUGCGUCCACCAUGCGUCGAUUUAAAAUCGCGUGAAAACACCAGCUUUCCAAAAGUGGCAUCUGUUACGGUAUUCCCACCACCAAGAUUACGCUUUAUGCUGGUGCUGACACGGUAUUCUCUACGUAGCGCGAAAGCACUCGACGUCGCCAAGCUUGCAUUUAAACCGCGACACGUAUUUACAAUGCAGACAAUUACAAUUAAAGCACAUGUUAAUACAACGAUCUGCUUGUCCUCCCAAGACAUGACAAGUUAGAAUGUUUACACAGACGCUCGAUCAUUGACAAUCACGCUU